UCCAAACAAUCACAUCCAUCCAUUAGCAAUAUCUAAUGGCCAUUCAUCUUUUUGUGGUUAACGCUACCAACCACGCCCUUAAUCUGCUAACCACACACUUAAUCCAUCGCUAACCAGCCACGCCCUUCAAAAAAAGAGAAAGAAACAACUGUACGCACGACCUCUCGCCCCCUCUUGCUCCUCCCCGCGCCGUCCGCCGCCCGUCGCUCCUUCGCUGCGGGAGCUGCCCACCGUCGCGCCUUUCGUCGAGGGAUAGCCGGAGUCGCCGCAGGUCGCGGCCGACCUUCGCGCCCUUCACCCUGGGACAGCCGGAGGCCGCCGCCCGUCGCGCGUCGGGGGCUCCGCCGGAGCCCUUCGCCGCGGGACAUCCGGAGCCGCCGCGACCGUCAGUAGCCGCCCGCCCAUCCUCUCCCGCCUCCCGCCCAUCCUCGCCCUCCUCCCGCCGCCUGCCUGCCUCUGCCGCCGCCGCCCUCCUCCCGCCCAUAGUCUUCUCCUCCGCCGCGAGCGUGAGCAGCCGCCCGCCGGUCCUCCUCUACUGCCCCAACAAGGUGGGAGAGCAUGAGCAUCCCGCCAGCCUUCCUCUGCUACCACUCGGAAAAACAUGAGGGCGGCCGGGUGGCGGUGUCCUCCUCUGCUGCCGACAACGACUUUAUCCAGCCAGUGAAUUAUCAUGAUCCAACACCAAUACCACACUCAGCACUAAAAGGGUCAGAGUCUUGUUUAUGAGUAUUUAAGCUCAAUCUGAUUUAUGAGAAUUUAAGCUCUUCGUAUGGUUCACAAAUUUUUUUGCUGUCACUCCAAUUACCUUUUCAAUGCUCUCAGAAUUCUGCACAUUCCUCAGGUGGCACGAAAAUUAGCACCCAGAAGCUUCUGAGCUUUCUGGUCUAAGAUAUUUAUGCAAUCUCACUCACAAUAUUUUAUAUUUUCUGUUUUUGCCUCCUCCCUAACAACACCUACUUUAUAUAUACAGGUUUAGACCAUUCCCACUCAUCAACAUUCCCUGCAUCUAAGGUCCUUUUUGUCACAGUUUCAGAUUUACUAAAUCACUUGACAAUUUGAUUUACUCAAACAUUUAUGAAUUGAGCUUCUCAAUAUUACGUGAUAACUCCACAUGCCUACUCUAAAGAUCCCUGUGUAGCAUCGUUUUGUCAUUGGACUGAUUUAGGAUUUAAGAAUUAAGUUUCUCAAUAUUACAUCACAGCUCCGCAUACCUACUCUUAAGAUCCCUAUGUACAAUUGUUUUGUCAUUCUACUGAUUUAGGAUGUUCCCCAAUACAUGUCACAGAUGAGGAAUCAUCGUUCGUCUGUGUUAGGAUCAGCCAAGCGUUCCCCAUCUAAGAUCUGACAAAUACGCCUACUCAUGAUACUUACACAUGCUCUAGGAAUAUAUACAUAGUAUGCAGCACACGCUUAGAGUGUUGAUGUUCUCAAUGGUGUCCAAAAAUUUCUUUAUAGAAUCAAAUAAGCAAUUAAAUAUAUGAAUAAGUUUACAAUUUAGCUGUGUACCACAAAGAAUUAUGGAAACUAGAUUUCAGGUGUUUUGGAUAUGUGUGUUCAGUUCCGUAGGCAAUGGUUACCAACUGUGGGUUUUUAGAUUUUCAAAUGAAUUUCACCCUAUGGCUAGAGCAUCUUCAAUGAAAUGCAAACCUGUUCAUUUUUCUUUACAAUUAAUAGUUGAAUACUUCUGCUGAAAUAUUCAGGUCUGCUAUUUACGCUUUGUGUGCUAUGUUUUGCUCUCACUGUACUUCAAUAAGAAUAUAUUAUUCAAAUUUUUCACCACGAUGUCCUAUAUUUCUAUGCCUGGGGGGUUGCCACCGGGAGAACAAUUUCUAGAUGCUGAAUUGAAAUGUAUUGUAAUAUCCAGUGUCUUGCAAUGUCACUCUUUCAUAUUGAAGGUAUGCGUUUCACAACGAAAUAGAAAAUCCUAAAUUUUGCAUGUGUCAUUGGUUCAACAACCAGAACCUCUGCACCUCACUGUCAACCACAUGCAAGCUUCCUCCUUGCUUUAGGUGAGAGCAUUGAUUUCAUCGCCUUUUUAGCUUGCUCAAAUUGCAAGUUUGAUAGGUUUCCCCAACCUGCGUUUGGAGCCCCUUUGAUUUUGGUUCCUUGCUACAACUAUGUACGCAAUUUUGUUUGUUUUUCACAGUUUGAUCGAUCCAUUCUUAGCUACAAAUGCUUAUUUAUAAACAGAUGGAUACAAGGUUCAUUGUAGUCUUGCAGUUGGGAAUACCAAAAAAAGCAUUUGUUUGAGUGGUAUAGCUAGCGCUUAGAUGCCAUUUUCUUGUCUGCUAUUUUUAUAGCCUUUUUCUGUCAUGCUAUGAGUUGAUAGGAAUCAAAUAGAUAUUUUCUAAUUCAGGAAAUACCACCCUUACGAGCAGCCCUUGAACACAGAACAAGGAAACGAGGAUAUUUUGGAGCCCAGUUUCACUUCCUUUGAGGACGUUGGAGCCACUGCCACUAUUGCUAUGUGUGUGGUUAGGGUAUAGAUCAAACUGCAAUUCAACAAUUGUCAUCGACACAAUCAGAUCUCUGACUAUAAAACUCCAUGCUAAUGUUCCAUAUUCC
This is a long non-coding RNA of Triticum urartu, 2565 nucleotides long. RefSeq lists it as uncharacterized. Lineage: Eukaryota; Viridiplantae; Streptophyta; Magnoliopsida; Poales; Poaceae. The record is from RefSeq and is a predicted model, not a curated record.